CUGGAGGAUGCCGGAGAGCCUGGGGAGAAUUCAUAACGUUGGUUUGUAUGCAGACGACGUUUUGUCAAAUGCAAAACACGACAUGUUAUGACGUAACUGCUGUGUGUACAUUUACUUCGGAGACAGUGAACAAGAACUUUAUCAAAUAUAAACUUUUGUGUUCCCUUUCCUAAUGUAUCUAGCGUCCGACUUUCGUCAACCGUACAUGGUAAUGUUCCAGAUUAUUCACACUUUUA
Molecule: long non-coding RNA, 236 nt
Filed under: Mytilus galloprovincialis (Mediterranean mussel)
Lineage: Eukaryota; Metazoa; Mollusca; Bivalvia; Mytilida; Mytilidae
Source: RNAcentral